RNAcentral lists this ribosomal RNA (465 nucleotides) under Vreelandella stevensii. RNAcentral's name for it is "partial 16S ribosomal RNA". It matches the Rfam family "Bacterial small subunit ribosomal RNA", at positions 338 to 795 of the family's 1533-position model. Lineage: Bacteria; Pseudomonadati; Pseudomonadota; Gammaproteobacteria; Oceanospirillales; Halomonadaceae. The record is from RNAcentral.
CCUACGGGAGGCUGCAGUGGGGAAUAUUGGACAAUUGGGGCAACCCUGAUCCAGCCAUGCCGCGUGUGUGAAGAAGGCCCUCGGGUUGUAAAGCACUUUCAGUGAGGAAGAACGCCUGGUGGUUAAUACCCAUCAGGAAAGACAUCACUCACAGAAGAAGCACCGGCUAACUCCGUGCCAGCAGCCGCGGUAAUACGGAGGGUGCGAGCGUUAAUCGGAAUUACUGGGCGUAAAGCGCGCGUAGGUGGCUUGAUAAGCCGGUUGUGAAAGCCCCGGGCUCAACCUGGGAACGGCAUCCGGAACUGUCAAGCUAGAGUGCAGGAGAGGAAGGUAGAAUUCCCGGUGUAGCGGUGAAAUGCGUAGAGAUCGGGAGGAAUACCAGUGGCGAAGGCGGCCUUCUGGACUGACACUGACACUGAGGUGCGAAAGCGUGGGUAGCAAACAGGAUUAGAUACCCGAGUAGUC